UGCAGUCGAGCGGACAGAAGGGAGCUUGCUCCCGGAUGUUAGCGGCGGACGGGUGAGUAACACGUGGGUAACCUGCCUGUAAGACUGGGAUAACUCCGGGAAACCGGAGCUAAUACCGGAUAGUUCCUUGAACCGCAUGGUUCAAGGAUGAAAGACGGUUUCGGCUGUCACUUACAGAUGGACCCGCGGCGCAUUAGCUAGUUGGUGAGGUAACGGCUCACCAAGGCGACGAUGCGUAGCCGACCUGAGAGGGUGAUCGGCCACACUGGGACUGAGACACGGCCCAGACUCCUACGGGAGGCAGCAGUAGGGAAUCUUCCGCAAUGGACGAAAGUCUGACGGAGCAACGCCGCGUGAGUGAUGAAGGUUUUCGGAUCGUAAAGCUCUGUUGUUAGGGAAGAACAAGUGCAAGAGUAACUGCUUGCACCUUGACGGUACCUAACCAGAAAGCCACGGCUAACUACGUGCCAGCAGCCGCGGUAAUACGUAGGUGGCAAGCGUUGUCCGGAAUUAUUGGGCGUAAAGGGCUCGCAGGCGGUUUCUUAAGUCUGAUGUGAAAGCCCCCGGCUCAACCGGGGAGGGUCAUUGGAAACUGGGAAACUUGAGUGCAGAAGAGGAGAGUGGAAUUCCACGUGUAGCGGUGAAAUGCGUAGAGAUGUGGAGGAACACCAGUGGCGAAGGCGACUCUCUGGUCUGUAACUGACGCUGAGGAGCGAAAGC
Molecule: ribosomal RNA, 720 nt
Filed under: Bacillus aerophilus
Lineage: Bacteria; Bacillati; Bacillota; Bacilli; Caryophanales; Bacillaceae
Description: bacterial SSU rRNA
Rfam family: Bacterial small subunit ribosomal RNA
Source: RNAcentral